Molecule: long non-coding RNA, 2845 nt
Filed under: Pelobates cultripes (western spadefoot toad)
Lineage: Eukaryota; Metazoa; Chordata; Amphibia; Anura; Pelobatidae
Source: RNAcentral
UUUUUUUCAAAGAAUCAGUGGUUUAUCAGAUUAUCUGACAGAAAGCUUUAAGGCAUUGUUCAGGCCAAAGGCAGUAAACACAUGGUUCGCUGGUUGAUUUUUUUAAAUGUCCUGUUAUCUUGAAAUGUUUUGAAACCGUCACUACGACAUUCUCUCUGUAACAGAGGUUUAAUGCUGGUUAUUUAGACAUUCCAGCAGUUCUGCACAUGCUGAUGUGUAUAGACUUGAUAUAUACAGGCAGGACUGCGAUGGGCCGUUGGGCUCUAUAAACCGAGACAAAGGAACGUGAAGAAAGGACUGAAUGAGAAAACCAGUGGUGUUACACAGCUGAUGUAAAUAGUGGGUUCAGGCACUCUCCAUGUGUACAUUCAAUCAAUGUGAAAAGCUGUUGUAACUCAUUGCUUAUUGACCAAGGUGGGCUAACCUGCUGCUGCUGCUGUUAUCUUCAGCUUGAACAGCAACCCAAAAGAAGGUGGUAGAUCUGAAUAAGCAAAACCACACCAUUAAGCUGUAGCCACUGACAUCUCAACGUGUGCCCUGUAUGUGCGAUCUAUGAUAAAAAUGCAAAGCCUUAGGUUGAUGCAUGUGAACAUGUAUCAAGGUCCCAGGGUUGUGUCUAAGAACAAACAUCAAUAUAUUUCCUUUAAGAGAAGAACAGACAGUGAGGUCUUUGUUAAUGGGUAUAGACAUCCAUAAAGGUUAUAGACUCUGAAAAGUACUUGUAUUGAGGUCUUUGGAUCAUGAGAACAUUCAAUAAAAUGUUUGGUUCAUGAGGAACCAAGGUCUUUGGUUUCUGCAUCAAGGUCUUUGGUUUUUGAAAAACACAAACAUCGAGGUCUUUGGUUCAUGAGUUAAGUCAUGUAUCAAGUCCAUAUACCAAGAUCUUUAAUUCCUGAAAGUUUGCAUGUAUUAAGUCUACGUUGCGUUAUGUUUAAAGGAGAUACAUUAUCCAGGACCCAUCACCAAUUUCUGAAUACAAUGAAAUAUAACACAGAGAAUUGUGAGCAUCCCGACCACUAGAUCAGUGUUAAGUAGAGAAUACAAAUAUAUAAUUUACUGAGUGGCUGUUCUAUUUUGUUUUUUGGUGAUCCAAUGCAUUUAUUCUUGUCUGAGCUGUCAUCCUGAGAUAUAUAUCAGACGUGUAGAUCGAGGAAGUAAUAGGUGAUGGACACAGAUUGUUUAAGGCAAAGAGAGAUAUUUUAUCCCCAGAAACGUAUUGUGUCAGAUUAUGUUUGUUCAUGAAGAACAUUCAGAUUCAGUCACAUUAUAAAUGGAGACCACAGCUGGAGGGAGGUGUUUGGUCAUAAAGCUCUAUAUAUAUGUUCUGUAGUGUGGCCCUGUGACAGGUGGAAGAAGCUGUGUACAAUUCUUUACUUUUUACUUUGCACAGUCAUGGCUCUUUAUCAUGACAUAGUGCAGGCUGUAUAGAUAUUGGGGUGUGACAUAGCGUAGGCCAUAUAGAUAAUGGGGUGUGACAUUGUGCAGACCGUAUAGAUAAUGGGGUGUGACAUUGUGCAGACCGUAUAGAUAAUGGGGUGUGACAAAGCGCAGGCCGUAUAGAUAAUGGGAUGUGACAUAGCGGAGGCUGUAUAGAUAAUGGGGUGUGACAUCACACAGACCAUAUAGAUAAUGGGAUGUGACAUAGCGGAGGCUGUAUAGAUAAUGGGAUGUGACAUCACACAGACCAUAUAGAUAAUGGGAUGUGACAUCACACAGACCAUAUAGAUAAUGGGAUGUGACAUCACACAGACCGUAUAGAUAAUGGGAGGUGCCAUAGAGCAGGCCAUAUAGAUAAUGGGAGGUGACAUAGAGCAGGCCAUAUAGAUAAUGGGAGGUGACAUAGCGCAGACUGUAUAGAUAAUGGGAGGUGCCAUAGAGCAGGCCGUAUAGAAAAUGGGGUGUGACAUAGUGCAGACCAUAUAGAUAAUGGGAUGUGACAAAGCAUAGGCCAUAUAGAUAAUGGGGUGUGACAUCGCACAGACCGUAUAGAUAAUGGGAGGUGCCAUAGAGCAGGUCAUAUAGAUAAUAGGGUGUGGCAAAGCGCAGACCAUAUAGAUAAUGGGGUGUGACAUAGCGCAGGCCAUAUAGAUAAUGGGGUGUGAAAUAGCGCAGGCCAUAUAGAUAAUGGGGUGUGAAAUAGCACAGACCGUAUAGAUAAUGGGGUGUGACAUAGCACAGACCGUAUAGAUAAUGGGAUGUGACAUAGCGGAGGCCGUAUAGAUAAUAGGGUGUAACAUAGCGCAGGUCAUGUGGAUAAUGGGGUGUGACAUCACACAGACCAUAUAGAUAAUGGGAGGUGACAUAGCGCAGACCGUAUAGAUAAUGGGAGGUGACAUAGCACAGACCGUAUACAUAAUGGGAGGUGACAUAGCGCAGACCGUAUAGAUAAUGGGAGGUGACAUAGCACAGACCAUAUUGAUAAUGGGAGGUGACAUAGCGCAGACCAUAUAGAUAAUGGGAGGUGACAUAGCGCAGACCGUAUAGAUAAUGGGAGGUGACAUAGCACAGAUCGUAUACAUAAUGGGAGGUGACAUAGCACAGACCGUAUAGAUAAUGGGAGGUGACAUAGCACAGACCAUAUAGAUAAUGGGAGAUGACAUAGCACAGACCAUAUAGAUAAUGAGAGGUGACAUAGCGCAGACCAUAUAGAUAAUGGGAGAUAACAUAGCACAGACCAUAUAGAUAAUGAGAGGUGACAUAGCGCAGACCGUAUAGAUAAUGAGAGGUGACAUAGCGCAGACCGUAUAGAUAAUGAGAGGUGACAUAACGCAGACCGUAUAGAUAAUGGGAGAUGACAUAGCGCAGAUCAUAUAGAUAAUGGGAGGUGACAUAGCGCAGACCGUAU